RNAcentral lists this ribosomal RNA (370 nucleotides) under uncultured bacterium. RNAcentral's name for it is "bacterial SSU rRNA". It matches the Rfam family "Bacterial small subunit ribosomal RNA", at positions 527 to 895 of the family's 1533-position model. The record is from RNAcentral.
AGAGGGGGCAAGCGUUAUUCGGAAUUAUUGGGCGUAAAGGGCGCGUAGGCGGCUUUUCAAGUGACGGGUGAAAUCCCUCGGCUUAACCGAGGAACUGCCUGUCAGACUGGAAGGCUUGAGACCGGGAGAGGUGAGUGGAAUUCCCAGUGUAGCGGUGAAAUGCGUAGAUAUUGGGAGGAACACCAGUGGCGAAGGCGGCUCACUGGACCGGAACUGACGCUGAGGCGCGAAAGCGUGGGGAGCAAACAGGAUUAGAUACCCUGGUAGUCCACGCCGUAAACGAUGAGUGCUUGGUGUAGCGGGUAUCGACCCCUGCUGUGCCGAAGUCAACACAUUAAGCACUCCGCCUGGGGAGUACGGUCGCAAGACU